This 480-nucleotide ribosomal RNA is filed under the name Triticum aestivum (bread wheat). RNAcentral describes it as "partial small subunit ribosomal RNA". The record is from RNAcentral. Lineage: Eukaryota; Viridiplantae; Streptophyta; Magnoliopsida; Poales; Poaceae.
AUGCUGAAACACCUGGACUUGCAGGAAGAUGAGCUUGAUGAUGUUGUGGUGGGAGAAGAAGAGGUGAAGAAGUAUGCAGCAGAUGCGAGGUGGCUUGCGAUUGGGAAGGUAAACACGACAAGGCAGUUUAGUGCAUCGGCGAUGUUCGAGACGCUGAAGUCGGUCUGGAGGCUUGCUAAUGUGCCAACUUAUCGCGAGGCGGGUGAGAAUCUCUUCAUCUUUCAGAUGUUUUGUCUGGGUGAUUGGAAGAAGGUUGUACAUGGAGGUCCAUGGCUGUUUAGGGGGAUGGGAAUGCUUAUUGAGGAUUAUGACGGCAAGCAGGAGCCGUCCUCUGUCGUCUUUGAUGGUCUGUUUGUUUGGGCUCAGAUACACAACAUCCCAGAGUUGUACCGUAAAGCGGAAGUAGUGGAUCAACUUGCUCGCCGCAUUGGUCGCGUGAAGGAGACACAACUCUCGCCUCGCCUCUUUUAUGAGGGUGAC